GAUGAACGCUGGCGGCGUGCCUAAUACAUGCAAGUCGAGCGAACGGACGAGAAGCUUGCUUAUCUGAUGUUAGCGGCGGACGGGUGAGUAACACGUGGAUAACCUACCUAUAAGACUGGGAUAACUUCGGGAAACCGUAGCUAAUACCGGAUAAUAUUUUGAACCGCAUGGUUCAAAAGUGAAAGACGGUCUUGCUGUCACUUAUAGAUGGAUCCGCGCUGCAUUAGCUAGUUGGUAAGGUAACGGCUUACCAAGGCAACGAUGCAUAGCCGACCUGAGAGGGUGAUCGGCCACACUGGAACUGAGACACGGUCCAGACUCCUACGGGAGGCAGCAGUAGGGAAUCUUCCGCAAUGGGCGAAAGCCUGACGGAGCAACGCCGCGUGAGUGAUGAAGGUCUUCGGAUCGUAAAACUCUGUUAUUAGGGAAGAACAUAUGUGUAAGUAACUGUGCACAUCUUGACGGUACCUAAUCAGAAAGCCACAGCUAACUACGUG
This 497-nucleotide ribosomal RNA is filed under the name uncultured bacterium. RNAcentral's name for it is "partial 16S ribosomal RNA". It matches the Rfam family "Bacterial small subunit ribosomal RNA", at positions 28 to 507 of the family's 1533-position model. The record is from RNAcentral.